This 93-nucleotide microRNA precursor is filed under the name Marmota monax (woodchuck). The record is from RNAcentral. Lineage: Eukaryota; Metazoa; Chordata; Mammalia; Rodentia; Sciuridae.
UGUCUCUUGAGAAGAGACCAGUGGGGCACCCUUUGUUCACAAGGGGCCUAGGAAGAUUUUUCAACAAAGGGUGCCCCACUGGUCUCUUCUCAA